Molecule: ribosomal RNA, 440 nt
Filed under: uncultured bacterium
Lineage: Bacteria
Description: partial 16S ribosomal RNA
Rfam family: Bacterial small subunit ribosomal RNA
Source: RNAcentral
CCUACGGGAGGCAGCAGUGGGGAAUAUUGGACAAUGGAGGAAACCCUGACGCAGCGACGCCGCGUGAGUGAAGAAGGAUUUCGGUAUGUAAAGCUCUAUCAGCAGGGAAGAAAAUGACGGUACCUGAGUAAGAAGCCCCGGCUAACUACGUGCCAGCAGCCGCGGUAAUACGUAGGGGGCAAGCGUUAUCCGGAUUUACUGGGUGUAAAGGGAGCGUAGACGGCAGUGCAAGUCUGGAGUGAAAGGCGGGGGCUCAACCCCCGGACUGCUCUGGAAACUGUACGGCUGGAGUGCAGGAGAGGUAAGUGGAAUUCCUAGUGUAGCGGUGAAAUGCGUAGAUAUUAGGAGGAACACCAGUGGCGAAGGCGGCUUACUGGACUGUAACUGACGUUGAGGCUCGAAAGUGUGGGUAGCAAACAGGAUUAGAUACCCGGGUAGUC